Molecule: long non-coding RNA, 1070 nt
Organism: Drosophila pseudoobscura
Lineage: Eukaryota; Metazoa; Arthropoda; Insecta; Diptera; Drosophilidae
Exons: 2
Source: RefSeq, a predicted model, not a curated record
UGAUCGUGUGUCUUUCAUUAUAGCCGCUCUUUGUGGGGUGUGAACAGUGAAUCGAUUGCUUGGAUUAUUCCUUAGGGUUCUUCGUUAGUAUUCAUCAUAAAAAUUUCAAAUCUUAUGUUCUCUGAGAACUACACGUCCAACGGGCCGGACGGAUAGACACGGAUGACAUGAAAGAAGCUCGAUAGGAAUACAAUGUUCCAAUGUUGAUAUCUCUUUUACUUGAUCUGAAAAACGAUCAUUUUAUUGAGAGAAUUUAGCGAAAGAAUACGUGGAAGAAAGGCUUCCGUAUGAAAGACGGUUAUGCUUAAGCUUCAACCGGAGCAUUGUUUCUACAUCCCCAUCUACAGUUGCAUCCGAAAAUAUUACAAGGACCAUGGCCGCAAUAAAAUCCUACAACUCGUGUUCCGUCGCGGCAGUAUCCUUCAUAUGCAGGGCAGCACAUUGCCGUCGAACCUCUGAUGAAAAAUAGGGCCAAUAAUAUUCGUGCAUAUGCCACAUACAUGCUUUGAAGCACUCUCCAGUUUGGAUGACUGGCUGACUCCCGAAAUUCGCUUCAGAACUCGCUAAUCGCAAUUUCACAAUUCCGAAACCAUAACGAUCCCCAUAAUGAUUCAAGGCCAAGCGCAUGAAUAUCAUUUACAGUGUAUUCUGAGCUGUAGAAAUUGUUCCCAGUGCUCGUGAGAGAGUGCGUAAGGAGAGACGACUCGCUCAGAUAGGAUCUGACUCUGCUGCAAUGUGCGUGGGUAAGAAAGAGACAGCGCGUGAGUGUCUUAUAGGGAUGGUUUGGUAAUACGGGUAUCUUUCUGUCGAGGCCCGUGUGCGUCUGUUCGCGACUGUAAGCACUCAGGACUCAUAUUGCUGGCAGCUUUUUACGGACGGUGUGGCCAGUCCUUAUCAAUGAUUUCGGCUGAUGACUUCGACGGACCAGAAGCUUCAAAACAUAAGUCGCAUGACCGUACCGUGUGAUUUCCGGGCGUAUUUAAUAUUCAUUCAACCCAUUUUAUGUCUGCAUCCGCCCAUACAGUCGCAUCCGAACAAAUUACAAGGUCCAUAGCCGCAAAAAUGCCCUA